RNAcentral lists this ribosomal RNA (253 nucleotides) under uncultured bacterium. RNAcentral's name for it is "partial 16S ribosomal RNA". It matches the Rfam family "Bacterial small subunit ribosomal RNA", at positions 524 to 776 of the family's 1533-position model. The record is from RNAcentral.
UACAGAGGGUGCAAGCGUUGUUCGGAAUUAUUGGGCGUAAAGGGCGCGUAGGCGGUGCGGUAAGUCUGUAGUGAAAUCUCUGGGCUCAACUCAGAGUCUGCUGCAGAAACUGCCGUGCUUGAGUGUGGGAGAGGUGAGUGGAAUUCCCGGUGUAGCGGUGAAAUGCGUAGAUAUUGGGAGGAACACCAGUGGCGAAGGCGGCUCGCUGGACCGGUUCUGACGCUGAUGCGCGAAAGCGUGGGGAGCAAACGGG